RNAcentral lists this long non-coding RNA (1825 nucleotides) under Nicotiana benthamiana. RNAcentral describes it as "long non-coding RNA (NBEN_LNC030123)". Lineage: Eukaryota; Viridiplantae; Streptophyta; Magnoliopsida; Solanales; Solanaceae. The record is from RNAcentral.
CCAGGCUCAUUUUUACAUUUAAACAAACAUGAAUUGCAAGACUAAUCUACCUUACUAAAAGUAAAAUGAGAUAUAAUAUAGUUCAACAGUCCAUAGUAAUUACAAUGUGAAGAUUCAGCUAAUCAAUGAAACUAAUUGAGCUACACUAAACCAAAUAAACAAAGAGGAAAUUAUCAUGGUCUUUAUUUCACCCCAAAGUGAGAGCUACAUCAUAGAAGAGGCUAAGAUUGAUACCUGGAUGUAGGAAAAACAAAGUAAAAAAAUAGGAGGUCAGCUUAAACAGCAGUAGUAUGACAAAAUUAGCCCCAGCAAAAGUCAAACAGAUCCAAUCCAAACUCAAGAAGAAGAUGCAGUAAUCCAAAUAAUGAAGUUCAAUCGAAUAAAUCCAUCAACAACGUUUUCAAAGCCAAUUGUAUACACUCCAAGUGUAACACAUUCUAAACCCUCUGAUGAAUUAGACAGUGGUUCAGCUUGAAGGCUUCAGAAUUCAGAAUUCAAAGAAAAGGAAAAGAAUUCAACGGAACAGUAAAACUACAGUUGUUCCUCAAUUUUUUGUAUUUUUUAAGCUCUUCUAAAAUCUGAUCUCUUUUCUAAAAAAAACAUUCUUUCUAAAGCAAGGAAGUGAUGUCUUUAUAUGCAAGUAAGUAGGGUAAGCUUCAGAUUUUACUUUUCACUUUUUAGCCCUUUUUGAUUUUUGUUUUUGCUUAAGAGGUCCUUGAAUUAUUGACUUGUGGCUCAAGUUAAUACCCUAUGUCGCUUCUAGGAAGUUUCCUAAGCUGUUACACCUAAGAUUCCUUUAAACAAAUACCUAAACUACCCCUCAUUACCCUGUAUUUGCCCUAAAAACAUCCGGGUCAACUAGUCAAGCUAAAAUGGGUUAUAGACCCUAAAUGGGCUCAAAGUCUUAAUGGGCAUGACCUAAUGACACAAAUGAGCCCCUGGAAUGACUUCAAAACCCAAGCAUCAACAAAAAUGAGACUGAUCCAAACAACAAACAACAAAGGAUAGUAUUAGUAGUUUCGAGUAUUAGACCUACACUAAUUGAAAUAUCAUUAAACAAAAGCAAACAAGGAAUUGACCAAAUUAUCAAACUAGGCAACUAAAAGAGCGAUCAGAAUUGUAAUUAAGCUAAUGACCAAAUUUAUCAGACCAAGAACGUUAGGGAUCAAUUUCUAAUAUUAAAACAAAAUUCAUUUAAAACUUAAUCAGGCUGGUCAAAAUUGAUUAAAAAAAAAAAGAAGACAGCACAAACAACCAAAAAGAAAGAAAGACAAUAGAAAGAAAAGAAUGAAUACAAGGGACUUACCAAAAGAGUCUGAGAGUUCAAAGAUGAACGAUUCAACAAACCAGUGUCGACCAUUUGUUCUUUGUAAAAAACAAAUGAGAGACAACAACCCGUUGACUCGAAAAUUCACAUCUUGCAAAGACAAGGGAAACUCUAGACCAUGCACGCCGUCAAAUUCCAUGAAAGUCAAUUUUGUAUUUCAGGGCUUCGAACUCAUAUGUGAUAUUCGAAGAGUUCUAAAUAUAUUCGAGAGUAGGGAGGGUGAGAUUAUGGAAGAGGAGACCAUGGGAAUGCUGUGGUGUUAAUUUGGUGGUGUUUGGGUGGUGGUGCCACAGGCCACGGCAGAGGGUUCAGAACUUCUGAGCAAUAUUCGAGAAGCUUAGGCGGGAUUCGAGGGACGGGGUUUGGAUAUUUGGAAAGAGGAGGAGGGAAUCUGGGGUGUGAAUUUGGUUGUGAUUGGCCACCGGCGCCGGUGGAGACGAUUUCCAUUGGGGGCAGGCAGCGGAGACGGGUUGAUCUCUAAGGUUUGGCUGUUUUGUU